This 290-nucleotide long non-coding RNA is filed under the name Ananas comosus (pineapple). RNAcentral's name for it is "long non-coding RNA (ACOM_LNC025855)". The record is from RNAcentral. Lineage: Eukaryota; Viridiplantae; Streptophyta; Magnoliopsida; Poales; Bromeliaceae.
AAAUUUUUUAUACUAUCUACAACAAGAUCAAUAUUUUUAUCGAAAAUUUUAGUGCUAUAUCAUCACUUUUUAUAUAAUUUUUAUUUUCAGCUGUUAAAAAUUAUUGAUUUUGAAUCCUCUCGAUUGCUAGGUAAAUGAUAUCGAAAAAUCGCAAAAAUUAUUUUCUAGAAACUUCAAAUACGCUAGAUCAAGUCUAACGGAGCCGAUCUUCGAUUCGGAAAUUCCAUCAUCGAAAACGGCUCAGGAGCAUGGAGGCCUCCGUGCUCCUGAGAGCACAGCAGUCCUGCUCU